This 497-nucleotide ribosomal RNA is filed under the name uncultured bacterium. RNAcentral's name for it is "partial 16S ribosomal RNA". It matches the Rfam family "Bacterial small subunit ribosomal RNA", at positions 28 to 523 of the family's 1533-position model. The record is from RNAcentral.
GAUGAACGCUGGCGGCGUGCUUAACACAUGCAAGUCGAACGAAGCACCUUAUUCUGAUUUCUUCGGAAUGAAAAAUUUGGUGACUGAGUGGCGGACGGGUGAGUAACGCGUGGGUAACCUGCCUCAUACAGGGGGAUAACAGGUAGAAAUGACUGCUAAUACCGCAUAAGACCACAGCACCGCAUGGUGCAGGGGUAAAAACUCCGGUGGUAUGAGAUGGACCCGCGUCUGAUUAGGUAGUUGGUGGGGUAACGGCCUACCAAGCCGACGAUCAGUAGACGACCUGAGAGGGUGACCGGCCACAGUGGGACUGAGACACGGCCCAAACUCCUACGGGAGGCAGCAGUGGGGAAUAUUGCACAAUGGGGGAAACCCUGAUGCAGCGACGCCGCGUGAGUGAUGAAGUAUUUCGGUAUGUAAAGCUCUAUCAGCAGGGAAGAAAAUGACGGUACCUGACUAAGAAGCACCGGCUAAAUACGUGCCAGCCGCCGCUGUAA